UUUUCUUGGUCUUCUUCUCUUCACUUAGCUUGUAUCUCUAGCUAGCUAUCUGGUUUUAUAAUAUACUCUCUCUUCUGAGUAUUCAUGGUGCAUUUUUUCGUCUUUGUCGUUGUUUGAACAUUGGCCAUUCUUACAAACAAUCAAGAGUUAGUUUUUCUUUUCUCAAAUACAAAUUAUUUAACUAAGUUUUUCUUGUUGAUAUUGGAAACUAUGCAGCAGAGAUGUUUUCACAUUACUAAUUUGCAGCUUUAUUAUCUCUUUUUAUGCAGAAAGUUAUAAUGAUCUAUUCUCUCUCGCUCCAAUUGGUUGCAUUUGCUUGUGUAUGUAAGCAAAUUGGAUAGAAGAAAUUACCAGCGCUAUUAAAACUGGCUAAAGAAAUUGCCAUGGUGGAUGACCAGACGGCAACUGAUACAAAUCAACACAAUUAUUGAUCGCCCUUCUCCCACUUUAUACAGGCAUCAUCUUUUUGUCCGAUUUGUUUCUUGAAAAUUUUGUACAAAUGUCAUUGGGAACUUUGUAUAAUACUUUGUGAUGGUGCAAUUUGAAACUAUUCAUUCAUUUUCUUCACUUGCAAACUUAAAAAAAAAAAAACUAUGUGAGUACAGUCUUCAUUUUCUUUGCCACUGCCAUUUGAUGUUUCUGGGAUUGUUUUAUAUCCACUACCAUGGUUUCACCAACACCUCUUCUUUCCAUUUGCAAGGGAAAUGGUGUGUGAUGGAAGCUUACGCAUAAGUCCCAUACUGCAGUUUGUCGAUUAUAGACUCCAGUCUUCAAGUUAGCUCUGUAGGUCUGUUUAAAAACUCCCAUUGGGAGUGAAGUUGUAAUCAUAUUUCAGAACUUAGAGAUUAUUUUGAAGAAUCAAUCAAGAUUCUGAUAAAAAUUCAAUCAUCAAAUUCAUUUCAUUUUUUUACAGUACUCAAUUUUUGUUUGUUUGUCUUUCCCUUAAAAUGUUUGCUAAUUUAAAUUGUAGGAAACCAUAAUGUACUACACAACUGUAAUGAAGAAAAGAAUAAGGGGAUAUGUCAUCCAUUGUUCCAGAUCAUAUUUUGAAGAUAUACUUUCAAGAUUCACCAAUGUACUACAAUGUCAAUGCAUCUGCAAAGCAUCACUCAAUUUUAAUCUGGCCCCCUCUUCUUCAAUUCAUCAGCUUGGAUGAAUCCAUGUACGACUUGCUAUCAAUAUAUAUCUAACACAUAGGCUACUCCAAUUUCUUUUACUGGUAUUUAAGUACUCGUGAUAGACUAGUAUGUGUAUUCAAAUCUGUCAGGUAACUAUAGCAAUGUUGAAUCCUUCAUCGUGUGAAUAAGAAAACACAAGCCUUGUUCUUUUACUUCAAUCUUAUCAUCAUUAUCUUCUAUAUACCCACUUCUGUAUAUCCACUUCUUAUAACCUUCUUCUCUC
This 1401-nucleotide long non-coding RNA is filed under the name Aquilegia coerulea. RNAcentral describes it as "long non-coding RNA (ACOE_LNC001200)". Lineage: Eukaryota; Viridiplantae; Streptophyta; Magnoliopsida; Ranunculales; Ranunculaceae. The record is from RNAcentral.